This 381-nucleotide long non-coding RNA is filed under the name Homo sapiens (human). RNAcentral's name for it is "long non-coding RNA NONHSAT186474.1". Lineage: Eukaryota; Metazoa; Chordata; Mammalia; Primates; Hominidae. The record is from RNAcentral.
CAUCUGCAUUCAGAGCCUGGAAUCAGUGGGAGUGAGGAGCUGCUUGUGUAAACCCAGGGCUGGGGCUUCACAGCACCGUCCACUAGACCUUCUGCAAGGAAGGAAAUGCGCCAUCAUCUGUGCUGCCCAACGGGACGGCCCUGGCCACACUUUAAUCCUGGCUCGUGCAACUGGGAAACUGAAUUUUUAAAAAGAAUUUAAAUUUAAAUAACCACAGGAGGCGCUUGGCUACCAUAUUGGACACGGCAUACAAUACAGAUGGCUAGGGAAAGUGAGAGGUCACAGCGCCCUCCAAGUACCUUGUGCUCCUAUGAAGAGGGAGCAGCUUUCUGAAAUUUUUAACACCUUUCCAGAUGUGCUGAAGAGAUCUGUCCUAGAGAU